UGGUAGUGUGGUGCCAUGAGCGGGGGGAUAACGAAGGGGGACAGGGUGAAUCGGAAAUCAGGGGCGCAAAGCGAGCUUAGGUGGUUUGGUAAUAUGGAAGUGAAAUCCCCGGGGUCAACCUGGGAACUUCAUCCAUAACUGCCUGACUAGAGUACGGUAGAGGGUGGUGGAAUUUCCUGUGUAGCGGUGAAAUGCGUAGAUAUAGGAAGGAACACCAGUGGCGAAGGCGACCACCUGGACUGAUACUGACACUGAGGUGCGAAAGCGUGGGGAGCAAACAGGAUAGAUACCCUGGUAGUC
This 300-nucleotide ribosomal RNA is filed under the name uncultured Bacillus sp. RNAcentral describes it as "bacterial SSU rRNA". It matches the Rfam family "Bacterial small subunit ribosomal RNA", at positions 495 to 795 of the family's 1533-position model. Lineage: Bacteria; Bacillati; Bacillota; Bacilli; Caryophanales; Bacillaceae. The record is from RNAcentral.